RNAcentral lists this unclassified non-coding RNA (944 nucleotides) under Zea mays. Its description in RNAcentral is "misc RNA Zm00001eb206950". Lineage: Eukaryota; Viridiplantae; Streptophyta; Magnoliopsida; Poales; Poaceae. The record is from RNAcentral.
GCCUCUUUGGCAGUGUCAAGGAUCUUCAUGAGAUGCCCCUGGAUGUCCCUCACGGCCUCCGCCAUGCUCGCCGGGGGCCGGUCGACGUACACGGUGAAGCCAGGCGCGCCAUGCUGCUCGAUUUCUGCGCUUGCCAGCACCCUCAGCUCGUUGCUCACAUGGUCCACCUUUCUCCCCACCUGCUCCCUCGACGGCGCCGCCACCUGUGCUGCUACUGCUGCCUGUUCACCCUCCUCCUCCUCUGCUCCGCCUUCACCUUCUCGGUGACAGUCGCCGCCGCCGCCGUCACUCUCUUCCUCCAGCUCUGGUAUCUGUUCGUCUUCUUGAUCAUCUCUCACCUCCUCGACGCUGUAACUCGGAUGAUCGGUCAGCGAAGAGAAAGGGUCCCAGAAGAGGUCCCAUCUCCGCGGCUGCGGCGACACCGAUGGGCCAAACAUCGGAUCAAUGGACGGAGGACGGAGGAACGGGCCAUCCGCCCCGAAGAAUCCGUCUAUCGUGGCAGCCUCAAUGGCCUCAUCAGUCGGCUCCCACUGCUCGACCACCGGAUGCACCGGAGCACCCGCCGGCCUCAGGCAGUUGACGACGACGAGAACCUUGUCGGGCGAUCCCGGGCGGUGCACGCACGAGGACUCCUGCAGCCGGUGGAGGUGCUCGUCCUCGGCGAAGUAGUAGAAGAGGCCCAUCGAGACGCGGCGGAGCGACUGGACGUAGGCGACGUGGGAGGAGGCCAGCAGGUCCCGCUGCGCGAUCGCCUUCCUCACGAAGCUCUUCCGGUCGUGGCAGGUCUUCACGGCCGCCUCCUCGUCCAGCUUCGACGAGGAGCAGCCCAUUGCUGCUGCCUGCUCCUUCUCCUCCUCCUCCUCCUCUUCCUGAGCCGGAUCGGAGCCAGGAGGUACCAGAGGAGGAACUGGGAGCAGCAAUGGUGGUUUCCUUUUCGUAUCGGA